Long non-coding RNA from Thalassophryne amazonica, 170 nucleotides. RefSeq lists it as uncharacterized. The transcript has 3 exons. Lineage: Eukaryota; Metazoa; Chordata; Actinopteri; Batrachoidiformes; Batrachoididae. The record is from RefSeq and is a predicted model, not a curated record.
AUCCAAGACGAGUUUCAGGACUAGGAAGUGAGCUGGUAACGUCUCUGCAGACCCCUCCCACCCUGAACACACCCUGUUUAAACUCCUCCCCUCUGGUGGAUGUCACAGAGCUCUGUACAUCAGAACAACCAGACACAGGAACAGUUUCUUUCCACAGUCCAUCACACUGA